UAAGUACCCCGAGGAAAAGAAAUCAACCGAGAUUCCCCCAGUAGCGGCGAGCGAACGGGGAGCAGCCCAGAGCCUGAAUCAGUGUGUGUGUUAGUGGAAGCGUCUGGAAAGGCGCGCGAUACAGGGUGACAGCCCCGUACACAAAAAUGCACAUGCUGUGAGCUCGAUGAGUAGGGCGGGACACGUGGUAUCCUGUCUGAAUAUGGGGGGACCAUCCUCCAAGGCUAAAUACUCCUGACUGACCGAUAGUGAACCAGUACCGUGAGGGAAAGGCGAAAAGAACCCCGGCGAGGGGAGUGAAAAAGAACCUGAAACCGUGUACGUACAAGCAGUGGGAGCACGCUUAGGCGUGUGACUGCGUACCUUUUGUAUAAUGGGUCAGCGACUUAUAUUCUGUAGCAAGGUUAACCGAAUAGGGGAGCCGAAGGGAAACCGAGUCUUAACUGGGCGUUAAGUUGCAGGGUAUAGACCCGAAACCCGGUGAUCUAGCCAUGGGCAGGUUGAAGGUUGGGUAACACUAACUGGAGGACCGAACCGACUAAUGUUGAAAAAUUAGCGGAUGACUUGUGGCUGGGGGUGAAAGGCCAAUCAAACCGGGAGAUAGCUGGUUCUCCCCGAAAGCUAUUUAGGUAGCGCCUCGUGAAUUCAUCUCCGGGGGUAGAGCACUGUUUCGGCAAGGGGGUCAUCCCGACUUACCAACCCGAUGCAAACUGCGAAUACCGGAGAAUGUUAUCACGGGAGACACACGGCGGGUGCUAACGUCCGUCGUGAAGAGGGAAACAACCCAGACCGCCAGCUAAGGUCCCAAAGUCAUGGUUAAGUGGGAAACGAUGUGGGAAGGCCCAGACAGCCAGGAUGUUGGCUUAGAAGCAGCCAUCAUUUAAAGAAAGCGUAAUAGCUCACUGGUCGAGUCGGCCUGCGCGGAAGAUGUAACGGGGCUAAACCAUGCACCGAAGCUGCGGCAGCGACACUAUGUGUUGUUGGGUAGGGGAGCGUUCUGUAAGCCUGCGAAGGUGUGCUGUGAGGCAUGCUGGAGGUAUCAGAAGUGCGAAUGCUGACAUAAGUAACGAUAAAGCGGGUGAAAAGCCCGCUCGCCGGAAGACCAAGGGUUCCUGUCCAACGUUAAUCGGGGCAGGGUGAGUCGACCCCUAAGGCGAGGCCGAAAGGCGUAGUCGAUGGGAAACAGGUUAAUAUUCCUGUACUUGGUGUUACUGCGAAGGGGGGACGGAGAAGGCUAUGUUGGCCGGGCGACGGUUGUCCCGGUUUAAGCGUGUAGGCUGGUUUUCCAGGCAAAUCCGGAAAAUCAAGGCUGAGGCGUGAUGACGAGGCACUACGGUGCUGAAGCAACAAAUGCCCUGCUUCCAGGAAAAGCCUCUAAGCAUCAGGUAACAUCAAAUCGUACCCCAAACCGACACAGGUGGUCAGGUAGAGAAUACCAAGGCGCUUGAGAGAACUCGGGUGAAGGAACUAGGCAAAAUGGUGCCGUAACUUCGGGAGAAGGCACGCUGAUAUGUAGGUGAAGUCCCUUGCGGAUGGAGCUGAAAUCAGUCGAAGAUACCAGCUGGCUGCAACUGUUUAUUAAAAACACAGCACUGUGCAAACACGAAAGUGGACGUAUACGGUGUGACGCCUGCCCGGUGCCGGAAGGUUAAUUGAUGGGGUCAGCGCAAGCGAAGCUCUUGAUCGAAGCCCCGGUAAACGGCGGCCGUAACUAUAACGGUCCUAAGGUAGCGAAAUUCCUUGUCGGGUAAGUUCCGACCUGCACGAAUGGCGU
This 1774-nucleotide ribosomal RNA is filed under the name Escherichia coli 6-537-08_S4_C1. RNAcentral describes it as "bacterial LSU rRNA". It matches the Rfam family "Bacterial large subunit ribosomal RNA", at positions 203 to 2002 of the family's 2925-position model. The record is from RNAcentral. Lineage: Bacteria; Pseudomonadati; Pseudomonadota; Gammaproteobacteria; Enterobacterales; Enterobacteriaceae.